AACGAACGCUGGCGGCAUGCCUAACACAUGCAAGUCGAACGAGACCUUCGGGUCUAGUGGCGCACGGGUGCGUAACGCGUGGGAACCUGCCCUUAGGUUCGGAAUAACUCCCCGAAAGGGGUGCUAAUACCGGAUAAUGUCUUCGGACCAAAGAUUUAUCGCCGUUGGUUGGGCCCGCGUUGGAUUAGCUAGUUGGUAGGGAAAAAGCCUACCAAGGCGCAGAUCCAUAACUGGUCUAGGAGGAUGAUAAGCCACCCCGGGACUGAGACACGGCCCGGACUCGGUGGGAGGGGGCUAGUGGGGAUAAUUGGCCAUUGGGGUAAACCCUAGUCCAGCCUGGCCGGUAUAUGAUUCAAGGCUGUGGGGUUUAAAAGCUCUUUUACCCGGAAUGGAAAUGCCGGUCCCGGGAAAAUAAGCCCCGCCUACCCCCCC
Molecule: ribosomal RNA, 432 nt
Filed under: uncultured bacterium
Lineage: Bacteria
Description: partial 16S ribosomal RNA
Rfam family: Bacterial small subunit ribosomal RNA
Source: RNAcentral